Molecule: ribosomal RNA, 515 nt
Filed under: uncultured bacterium
Lineage: Bacteria
Description: partial 16S ribosomal RNA
Rfam family: Bacterial small subunit ribosomal RNA
Source: RNAcentral
GAUGAACGCUGGCGGCGUGCCUAAUACAUGCAAGUCGAGCGAAUGGAUUAAGAGCUUGCUCUUAUGAAGUUAGCGGCGGACGGGUGAGUAACACGUGGGUAACCUGCCCAUAAGACUGGGAUAACUCCGGGAAACCGGGGCUAAUACCGGAUAACAUUUUGAACCGCAUGGUUCGAACUUGAAAGGCGGCUUCGGCUGUCACUUAUGGAUGGACCCGCGUCGCAUUAGCUAGGUGGUGAGGUAACGGCUCACCAAGGCAACGAUGCGUAGCCGACCUGAGAGGGUGAUCGGCCACACUGGGACUGAGACACGGCCCAGACUCCUACGGGAGGCAGCAGUAGGGAAUCUUCCGCAAUGGACGAAAGUCUGACGGAGCAACGCCGCGUGAGUGAUGAAGGCUUUCGGGUCGUAAAACUCUGUUGUUAGGGAAGAACAAGUGCUAGUUGAAUAAGCUGGCACCUUGACGGUACCUAACCAGAAAGCCACGGCUAACUACGUGCCAGCAGCCGCCGCGG